UACGUAGGGUGCAAGCGUUAAUCGGAAUUACUGGGCGUAAAGCGUGCGCAGGCGGUUCUGCACGACCGAGGUGAAAUCCCCGGGCUCAACCUGGGAACUGCCUUUGUGACUGCAUGGCUAGAGUGCGGCAGAGGGGGAUGGAAUUCCGCGUGUAGCAGUGAAAUGCGUAGAUAUGCGGAGGAACACCGAUGGCGAAGGCAAUCCCCUGGGCCUGCACUGACGCUCAUGCACGAAAGCGUGGGGAGCAAACAGG
RNAcentral lists this ribosomal RNA (253 nucleotides) under uncultured bacterium. RNAcentral's name for it is "partial 16S ribosomal RNA". It matches the Rfam family "Bacterial small subunit ribosomal RNA", at positions 524 to 776 of the family's 1533-position model. The record is from RNAcentral.